GGCGGCAUGCCUCAUACAUGCAAGUCGAACGAGGUCUUCGGACCUAGUGGCGCACGGGUGAGUAACAUGUGGGAAUCUGCCUGAAGGUUCGGAAUAACUGCGGGAAACUGUAGCUAAUACCGGAUGUGUCUGUAAAGAGAAAGAUUUAUCGCCUUCAGAUGAGCCCGCACUAGAUUAGCUAGUUGGUGAGGUAAUUGCUCCACCAAGGCUACGAUCUAUAGCUGAUUUGAGAGGAUGAUCAGCCACACUGGGACUGAGACACGGCCCAGACUCCUACGGGAGGCAGCAGUAGGGAAUAUUGGACAAUGGGGGAAACCCUGAUCCAGCAAUGCCGCGUGAGUGAAGAAGGCCUUCGGGUUGUAAAACUCUUUCAGCAAUGAAGAUAAUGACAUUAAUUGCAGAAGAAGCCCCGGCUAACUUCGUGCCAGCAGCCGCGGUAAUACGAAGGGGGCUAGCGUUGUUCGGAAUCAUUGGGCGUAAAGCGUAUGUAGGCGGAUCAAAAAGUUAGAUGUGAAAUCCCUGGGCUUAACCCAGGAACUGCGUUUAAAACUAGUGAUCUAGAAUUUGGUAGGGGUUAGUAGAAUUUCCAGUGUAGAGGUGAAAUUCGUAGAUAUUGGAAAGAAUACCAGUGGCGAAGGCGACUAACUGGGCCAUUUUUGACGCUGAGAUACGAAAGCGUGGGUAGCAAACAGGAUUAGAUACCCUGGUAGUCCACGCAGUAAACGAUGAGUGCUAGUCGCUGGGACAUUAGUUUCAGUGUCGACGCUAACGCAUUAAGCACUCCGCCU
RNAcentral lists this ribosomal RNA (788 nucleotides) under uncultured Alphaproteobacteria bacterium. RNAcentral describes it as "bacterial SSU rRNA". It matches the Rfam family "Bacterial small subunit ribosomal RNA", at positions 38 to 874 of the family's 1533-position model. The record is from RNAcentral. Lineage: Bacteria; Pseudomonadati; Pseudomonadota; Alphaproteobacteria.